This 562-nucleotide ribosomal RNA is filed under the name uncultured fungus. RNAcentral's name for it is "eukaryotic LSU rRNA". It matches the Rfam family "Eukaryotic large subunit ribosomal RNA", at positions 62 to 648 of the family's 3401-position model. Lineage: Eukaryota; Fungi. The record is from RNAcentral.
AAACCAACAGGGAUUGCCUCAGUAACGGCGAGUGAAGCGGCAAAAGCUCAAAUUUGAAAUCUAGCACUUUCAGUGUUCGAGUUGUAUUUUGAAGAAGGUAACUUUGGUUUUGGCUCUUGUCUAUGUUCCUUGGAACAGGACGUCACAGAGGGUGAGAAUCCCGUGCGAUGAGAUGCCCAAUUCCAUGUAAAGUGCUUUCGAAGAGUCGAGUUGUUUGGGAAUGCAGCUCUAAGUGGGUGGUAAAUUCCAUCUAAAGCUAAAUAUUGGCGAGAGACCGAUAGCGAACAAGUACAGUGAUGGAAAGAUGAAAAGAACUUUGAAAAGAGAGUGAAAAAGUACGUGAAAUUGUUGAAAGGGAAGGGCUUGAGAUCAGACUUGGUGCUGUUGUUCAACCAUGUUUCGGCAUGGUGUACUCAGCAGUACUAGGCCAAGGUGGGGUGUUUGGGAGUGAAAAAGAAGUAGGAACGUAACUCUUCGGAGUGUUAUAGCCUACUUUCAUAGCUCCUCAGGCGCCUCAGGACUGCGCUUCGGCAAGGACCUUGGCAUAAUGAUUCUAUACCGC